This 427-nucleotide ribosomal RNA is filed under the name uncultured bacterium. RNAcentral describes it as "partial 16S ribosomal RNA". It matches the Rfam family "Bacterial small subunit ribosomal RNA", at positions 355 to 774 of the family's 1533-position model. The record is from RNAcentral.
UGGGGAAUAUUGGACAAUGGGCGAAAGCCUGAUCCAGCCAUGCCGCGUGUGUGAAGAAGGUCUUCGGAUUGUAAAGCACUUUAAGUUGGGAGGAAGGGCAUUAACCUAAUACGUUAGUGUUUUGACGUUACCGACAGACUAAGCACCGGCUAACUCUGUGCCAGCAGCCGCGGUAAUACAGAGGGUGCAAGCGUUAAUCGGAAUUACUGGGCGUAAAGCGCGCGUAGGUGGUUUGUUAAGUUGGAUGUGAAAUCCCCGGGCUCAACCUGGGAACUGCAUUCAAAACUGACUGACUAGAGUAUGGUAGAGGGUGGUGGAAUUUCCUGUGUAGCGGUGAAAUGCGUAGAUAUAGGAAGGAACACCAGUGGCGAAGGCGACCACCUGGACUAAUACUGACACUGAGGUGCGAAAGCGUGGGGAGCAAACA